Molecule: long non-coding RNA, 567 nt
Filed under: Malus domestica (apple)
Lineage: Eukaryota; Viridiplantae; Streptophyta; Magnoliopsida; Rosales; Rosaceae
Description: long non-coding RNA (MDOM_LNC007298)
Source: RNAcentral
GCUUGUUCAGGAAUGGGUGUUUCAUGCACUUCUUCUCCAUCUUCUUCAUCAACAUGGGAGCCAUGAUCGGGUGUAGAGUGUGGAUGGGUGCUGUGUACAAAGGUGUUGUAUAGAGGGGUGCUGUUCAUGCAUACUUUUGGACCAACAUGCACAACUUUGAAUUUAGGACAAUCUUUAACAAUAUUCCAACAUUCCCACCGAUGGAAUGAUUUGUUUCUUGAUUUGAUUUUGGCAGCCUACCAUGCUUGUGCUUGAAGUUGCUACAAAUGAAUAAUAAUGAAAUUAUUAGGUAACAAAUAAAUAAUACAAACAAAUAAUAAUAAUGAAAUUAUUAGGUAACAAAUACAUAAUACAAACAAAUGAAUAAUAAUGAAAUUAUUACGUAACAAAUAAAUAAUACAAACAAAUAAUAAUAAUGAAAUUAUUAUUAGGUAACAAAUAAAUAAUACAAACAAAUAAUAAUAAUAAUUAGGUAACAAAUAAAUAAUACAAACAAAUAAUACUAAUGAAAUUAUUAGGUAACAAAUAAAUAAUACAAACAAAUAAUAAUAAUGAAAUUAGGUCACA